This 2324-nucleotide ribosomal RNA is filed under the name Escherichia coli. Its description in RNAcentral is "partial 23S ribosomal RNA". It matches the Rfam family "Bacterial large subunit ribosomal RNA", at positions 612 to 2915 of the family's 2925-position model. Lineage: Bacteria; Pseudomonadati; Pseudomonadota; Gammaproteobacteria; Enterobacterales; Enterobacteriaceae. The record is from RNAcentral.
AUAAUGGGUCAGCGACUUAUAUUCUGUAGCAAGGUUAACCGAAUAGGGGAGCCGAAGGGAAACCGAGUCUUAACUGGGCGUUAAGUUGCAGGGUAUAGACCCGAAACCCGGUGAUCUAGCCAUGGGCAGGUUGAAGGUUGGGUAACACUAACUGGAGGACCGAACCGACUAAUGUUGAAAAAUUAGCGGAUGACUUGUGGCUGGGGGUGAAAGGCCAAUCAAACCGGGAGAUAGCUGGUUCUCCCCGAAAGCUAUUUAGGUAGCGCCUCGUGAAUUCAUCUCCGGGGGUAGAGCACUGUUUCGGCAAGGGGGUCAUCCCGACUUACCAACCCGAUGCAAACUGCGAAUACCGGAGAAUGUUAUCACGGGAGACACACGGCGGGUGCUAACGUCCGUCGUGAAGAGGGAAACAACCCAGACCGCCAGCUAAGGUCCCAAAGUCAUGGUUAAGUGGGAAACGAUGUGGGAAGGCCCAGACAGCCAGGAUGUUGGCUUAGAAGCAGCCAUCAUUUAAAGAAAGCGUAAUAGCUCACUGGUCGAGUCGGCCUGCGCGGAAGAUGUAACGGGGCUAAACCAUGCACCGAAGCUGCGGCAGCGACACUAUGUGUUGUUGGGUAGGGGAGCGUUCUGUAAGCCUGUGAAGGUGGCCUGUGAGGGUUGCUGGAGGUAUCAGAAGUGCGAAUGCUGACAUAAGUAACGAUAAAGCGGGUGAAAAGCCCGCUCGCCGGAAGACCAAGGGUUCCUGUCCAACGUUAAUCGGGGCAGGGUGAGUCGACCCCUAAGGCGAGGCCGAAAGGCGUAGUCGAUGGGAAACAGGUUAAUAUUCCUGUACUUGGUGUUACUGCGAAGGGGGGACGGAGAAGGCUAUGUUGGCCGGGCGACGGUUGUCCCGGUUUAAGCGUGUAGGCUGGUUUUCCAGGCAAAUCCGGAAAACCAAGGCUGAGGCGUGAUGACGAGGCACUACGGUGCUGAAGCGACAAAUGCCCUGCUUCCAGGAAAAGCCUCUAAGCAUCAGGUAACAUCAAAUCGUACCCCAAACCGACACAGGUGGUCAGGUAGAGAAUACCAAGGCGCUUGAGAGAACUCGGGUGAAGGAACUAGGCAAAAUGGUGCCGUAACUUCGGGAGAAGGCACGCUGAUAUGUAGGUGAAGCGACUUGCUCGUGGAGCUGAAAUCAGUCGAAGAUACCAGCUGGCUGCAACUGUUUAUUAAAAACACAGCACUGUGCAAACACGAAAGUGGACGUAUACGGUGUGACGCCUGCCCGGUGCCGGAAGGUUAAUUGAUGGGGUUAGCGGUAACGCGAAGCUCUUGAUCGAAGCCCCGGUAAACGGCGGCCGUAACUAUAACGGUCCUAAGGUAGCGAAAUUCCUUGUCGGGUAAGUUCCGACCUGCACGAAUGGCGUAAUGAUGGCCAGGCUGUCUCCACCCGAGACUCAGUGAAAUUGAACUCGCUGUGAAGAUGCAGUGUACCCGCGGCAAGACGGAAAGACCCCGUGAACCUUUACUAUAGCUUGACACUGAACAUUGAGCCUUGAUGUGUAGGAUAGGUGGGAGGCUUUGAAGUGUGGACGCCAGUCUGCAUGGAGCCGACCUUGAAAUACCACCCUUUAAUGUUUGAUGUUCUAACGUUGGCCCGUAAUCCGGGUUGCGGACAGUGUCUGGUGGGUAGUUUGACUGGGGCGGUCUCCUCCUAAAGAGUAACGGAGGAGCACGAAGGUUGGCUAAUCCUGGUCGGACAUCAGGAGGUUAGUGCAAUGGCAUAAGCCAGCUUGACUGCGAGCGUGACGGCGCGAGCAGGUGCGAAAGCAGGUCAUAGUGAUCCGGUGGUUCUGAAUGGAAGGGCCAUCGCUCAACGGAUAAAAGGUACUCCGGGGAUAACAGGCUGAUACCGCCCAAGAGUUCAUAUCGACGGCGGUGUUUGGCACCUCGAUGUCGGCUCAUCACAUCCUGGGGCUGAAGUAGGUCCCAAGGGUAUGGCUGUUCGCCAUUUAAAGUGGUACGCGAGCUGGGUUUAGAACGUCGUGAGACAGUUCGGUCCCUAUCUGCCGUGGGCGCUGGAGAACUGAGGGGGGCUGCUCCUAGUACGAGAGGACCGGAGUGGACGCAUCACUGGUGUUCGGGUUGUCAUGCCAAUGGCACUGCCCGGUAGCUAAAUGCGGAAGAGAUAAGUGCUGAAAGCAUCUAAGCACGAAACUUGCCCCGAGAUGAGUUCUCCCUGAGACUUAGAGUCUCCUGAAGGAACGUUGAAGACGACGACGUUGAUAGGCCGGGUGUGUAAGCGCAGCGAUGCGUUGAGCUAACCGGUACUAAUGAACCGUGAG